RNAcentral lists this long non-coding RNA (233 nucleotides) under Ananas comosus (pineapple). Its description in RNAcentral is "long non-coding RNA (ACOM_LNC022209)". Lineage: Eukaryota; Viridiplantae; Streptophyta; Magnoliopsida; Poales; Bromeliaceae. The record is from RNAcentral.
AAAUCUUGUAAUUUUAGAAUAUGUUUGGUUCGAAGGAUUUGAAGCUUUAGAUAAGGAUCGGAAUGAUUAUUUUUUUUUGAGAGAGAGAAAAUGAUAGUAUGUUACCUUUUCGUUUGUUUGUUUUAGAAAUGAACUUAGUUAAAAAUGUAAGUACCUAAACUUCAAACUUAGGAUCUCAGGUACCAACCAUCAAAUCCUCUACCACUUGAACCAAAUUGGAAAUGACCCAUUUC